GUGGACUAUGAACUUCACAUGUGCUUCUCAGUUUUCAUCUGCCCCCUUAGGUGGGACAGGAUGAUAGAAUGAGCUAGAGUUAAGUAUUUUCCUUCUUCCACAUGGAAAGCUAGAGGGGCUGGAGAUAUUUUUUUUUUCCCCCAGGUCACUUAGGCUCUGAUAAAACUUCAGCAGGUUGGGCUCCCUUAAAUAGUUACUCCUGAGAGCAGGUCUUGCUAAGAAGAAAAUGCUCUGGUGUAUUUCAAAAUGGUUCGUUUUUCUUUCUCCCUGACAAAAGCAUGAAGAGAUUUUUUUUCCCGGGAAUUUACUGUGAGGCCCUGGUCAAACUCCUGGAGGUAAAAUUCAUGAAACUGUGGGAACUGCGUUGGCUGGGUUCCCCGGAAUAACUCUCAGGCUUGUUCACAACUUAGCUUCCGGCAAUUCAUCAAUUACAGCGCAGGUUUUCCUGUGCCAGCACUGAUUCCGGCAGUGGUUUCUGCUCUUGAGUUUCUCCUCUGGUAUUUUAACAACUUGCAAAACCCCUAUCUGCAAUACUCAAGAAGACUAAUUUCAGAAUACUUAUCUGUGAAGCUGGAAAGCCAAAAUGAGAUUUCAGAGCCCUCACAGUGCUGGAGGAACAAAGUUGAACUUUAAGCUCAGCCAGGGUGCAGUGUACUAGGUUCCUCAUCUAUAAAAUGGAGAUAAUAAAAGAACCUAUUUCAUAUGGUUCAUUACCCCACCAAAUGAGCUAACCAAUGAGAGGAACUUAAGAAAACUCCUAACACAUGCUUUGUUUAACAAGAAGAGACACAAAAGCUUGCCCUCUGGCUUUCUGCUGCCGUGUGAGGAUACAAGGUGAAAGUGGCUGUCUGCAAACCAGGAAGAGUGCCCUCACAAGACACAGUCUCCCAGAAUGGGUGCAGCACACCAACAUGGCAC
This 918-nucleotide long non-coding RNA is filed under the name Homo sapiens (human). RNAcentral's name for it is "HSALNT0019147". The record is from RNAcentral. Lineage: Eukaryota; Metazoa; Chordata; Mammalia; Primates; Hominidae.